AAUCAACGCUGGCGGCGUGCCUCAGACAUGCAAGUCGAACGCGAAAGUCCCCUUCGGGGGAUAAGUAGAGUGGCGCACGGGUGAGUAACACGUAGGUAAUCUACCUUCGGGUGGGGAAUAACCCAGGGAAACUUGGGCUAACACCGCAUAAUGCAGCGGCACCACAUGGUGACAGUUGUUAAAGCGGGGGAUUUUAGGACCUCGCGCCUGAAGAGGAGCCUGCGGCAGAUUAGCUAGUUGGUAGGGUAACGGCUUACCAAGGCGACGAUCUGUAACCGGCCUGAGAGGGCGGUCGGUCACACUGACACUGACAUACGGGUCAGACUCCUACGGGAGGCAGCAGUCGGGAAUUUUGGGCAAUGGGCGAAAGCCUGACCCAGCAACGCCGCGUGAAGGAUGAAAUCCCUCGGGAUGUAAACUUCGCAAGAUUGGGAAGAAUUAGUAGGGGUUAAUACCCCCUAUGAUGACGGUACCUUUUGUAAGCUCCGGCUAACUCCGUGCCAGCAGCCGCGGUAAUACGGGGGGAGCAAGCGUUGUUCGGAUUUACUGGGCGUAAAGGGCGCGUAGGCGGUCAGCACAAGUCAGUUGUGAAAUCUCCGGGCUUAACCCGGAGCGGCCAAGUGAUACUGUCGUGCUAGAGUGCGGAAGGGGCUACUGGAAUUCUCGGUGUAGCGGUGAAAUGCGUAGAUAUCGAGAGGAACACCUGCGGCGAAGGCGGGUAGCUGGGCCGACACUGACGCUGAGGCGCGAAAGCCAGGGGAGCGAACGGGAUUAGAUACCCCGGUAGUCCUGGCCUUAAACGAUGGAUACUUGGUGUCCGGGGUUACAUAGUCCCCGGGUGCCGGCGCUAACGCAUUAAGUAUCCCGCCUGGGGAGUACGGUCGCAAGACUGAAACUCAAAGGAAUUGACGGGGGCCCGCACAAGCGGUGGAGCAUGUGGUUUAAUUCGACGCAACGCGAAGAACCUUACCCAGGCUCGAACGGCAGCUGACAUCCUACGAAAGUAGGCUCCCGCAAGGGCAGCUGUCGAGGUGCUGCAUGGCUGUCGUCAGCUCGUGUCGUGAGAUGUUGGGUUAAGUCCCGCAACGAGCGCAACCCUUGUCUUCUGUUGCCAUCGGGUUAUGCCGGGCACUCUGAAGAGACUGCCGGUGACAAACCGGAGGAAGGUGGGGAUGACGUCAAGUCAGCAUGGCCUUUAUGUCUGGGGCUACACACGUGCUACAAUGGCCGGUACAAACCGUCGCGAUGCCGUAAGGUGGAGCUAAUCGGAGAAAGCCGGUCUCAGUUCGGAUUGUCGGCUGCAACUCGCCGGCAUGAAGUUGGAAUCGCUAGUAAUCGCGGAUCAGCACGCCGCGGUGAAUACGUCCCCGGGCCUUGUACACACCGCCCGUCACAUCACGAAAGCUGGCUGUACUAGAAGUCGCUGAGCCAACCCGCAAGGGAGGCAGGCGCCUAAGGUAUGGUCAGUGAUUGGGGUG
RNAcentral lists this ribosomal RNA (1478 nucleotides) under uncultured Acidobacteriota bacterium. RNAcentral describes it as "bacterial SSU rRNA". It matches the Rfam family "Bacterial small subunit ribosomal RNA". Lineage: Bacteria; Pseudomonadati; Acidobacteriota. The record is from RNAcentral.